Molecule: non-coding RNA, 84 nt
Organism: Cucumis melo (muskmelon)
Lineage: Eukaryota; Viridiplantae; Streptophyta; Magnoliopsida; Cucurbitales; Cucurbitaceae
Source: Rfam
CCGACCUUAGCUCAGUUGGUAGAGCGGAGGACUGUAGUUUGUUCAGUGAUCCUUAGGUCGCUGGUUCGAAUCCGGCAGGUCGGA